Molecule: ribosomal RNA, 253 nt
Filed under: uncultured bacterium
Lineage: Bacteria
Description: partial 16S ribosomal RNA
Rfam family: Bacterial small subunit ribosomal RNA
Source: RNAcentral
UACAGAAGUCUCAAGCGUUGUUCGGAUUCAUUGGGCGUAAAGGGUGCGUAGGUGGGUGGGUAAGUCAAAUGUGAAAUCCCGGAGCUCAACUCCGGAACUGCAUUCGAUACUGCCCGGCUCGAGGAUUGGAGAGGAGACUGGAAUUCACGGUGUAGCAGUGAAAUGCGUAGAGAUCGUGAGGAACACCCGUGGCGAAGGCGGGUCUCUGGACAAUUCGUGACUCUGAGGCACGAAGGCCAGGGGAGCAAACGGG